AUCCAGUUGACGAGUCCCACACAGGACGAAAUGCGCAUCCUGGAU
Molecule: non-coding RNA, 45 nt
Filed under: Trichobilharzia regenti
Lineage: Eukaryota; Metazoa; Platyhelminthes; Trematoda; Strigeidida; Schistosomatidae
Source: RNAcentral